AACGAACGCUGGCGGCAUGCCUAACACAUGCAAGUCGAACGAGACCUUCGGGUCUAGUGGCGCACGGGUGCGUAACGCGUGGGAACCUGCCCUUAGGUUCGGAAUAACUCCCCGACAGGGGUGCUAAUACCGGAUAAUGUCUUCGGACCAAAGAUUUAUCGCCUUUGGCUGUGCCCGCGUUGGAUUAGCUAGUUGGUAGGGUAAAAGCCUACCAAGGCGGCGAUCCAUAGCUGGUCUGAGGGGGUGAUCAGCCACGCUGGGACUGAGACACGGCCCAGACUCCGGCGGGAGGCAGCGGUCGGGACUCUUCCGGAAAGGGCGAAGGGGUGAUGGUGCAAAGGGGCGUAAGGGAUGAACGUCCUCGGACCGUGGAACUAUGUUAUUAGGGGGGAACAAAUGUUUUAGUAACUAUGCACAUCAUGACGGUACCGAAACAGAAAGCCACGGCUAACUCCGUG
Molecule: ribosomal RNA, 458 nt
Filed under: uncultured bacterium
Lineage: Bacteria
Description: partial 16S ribosomal RNA
Rfam family: Bacterial small subunit ribosomal RNA
Source: RNAcentral